UCUGGUGCCGAUGCGCUCAGGGGAAACACCCGUACCCAUCCCGAACACGAUGGUUAAGACUUGAGCGGCCGAUGGUACUAUGCUGGAGACGGCAUGGGAGAGCAGGUGGGUGCCAGAU
RNAcentral lists this ribosomal RNA (118 nucleotides) under [Clostridium] innocuum. Lineage: Bacteria; Bacillati; Bacillota; Clostridia; Eubacteriales; Clostridiaceae. The record is from RNAcentral. RNAcentral also lists the same sequence under 5 other names.